Oncorhynchus tshawytscha (Chinook salmon) is the source of this 2217-nucleotide long non-coding RNA. Lineage: Eukaryota; Metazoa; Chordata; Actinopteri; Salmoniformes; Salmonidae. The record is from Ensembl.
UUUGUGUUUGUGCUGCUUUGCAGCAUAUUUUGAUGCAAGCAAUUGCACUGUUUGAUCAUAUUGUUUAAAUAUACAGACUUUUCUUCAUCAAACAUAAAAUUACCUUUUUUGUCAGCAUAGAUGCAAUGUUUCCCUCACCACUGCCAUAGUUUUUGACCUGAUCUGAGAGAGGGUGCUGACAGAAAUGUACAACCAUGAAGGAAGAUAUACUCUUGAUGUCAGGGUUGAUAACACGCUAAUGUUACUUUAGUCAAGCGUGCAGCAGUAAAUCUAUUGGAUCUGAGCGAAAGAGAUGUCUGGUUGAAAAAAUAGAUCUGUAGAAUGGGGAUUCCCUUUGUCUGAUCUAACAUGUCUAAUUCUAGAUCCUCUUUCUCCUUUUCAGCUCAGACAGAUUUCAGCUCAGACAGAUGGCAGUAACUCCCCUACAGAAUGAGGACAAUGACAUCUCCAGGCUGUGUAAGGGCUAUUUGACCAAGGAGAGCAGAUGACCUGGCCUCCACAAUCACCUGACCUCAACCCAAUUGAGACGGUUUGGGAUGAAUUGGACCACAGAGUGAAGGAAAAGCAGCCAACAAGUGCUCAGCAUAUGUGGGAACUCCUUCAAGACUGUUGUAAAAGCAUUCCUCAUGAACCUGGUUGAGAGAAUGCCAAGAGUGUGCAAAGCUGUCAUCAAGGCAUUGUUUUGAUUUGUUAAACACUUUUUUGGUUACUACAUGAUUCCAUAUGUGUUAUUUCAUAGUUUUGAUGUCUUCACUAUUAUAUUCUACAAUGUAAAAAAUCGUUUUUUUAAAACCCUUGAAUGAGUAGGUAUGUCCAAACCUUUGACUGGUACUGUAUAUAUAUUUUUUAACAUUUUAUCCAGACUCAGCAACCUAGCCUUUUGCAGUCAUCCUACUGCACACUCAAAGAGAAGCAGGUAAUUUGCAAACAAAUAUCUUUUGCACUGACUAAUCCUCAAUGAUUUCAACCAAAAUUAGAGAUCACAUAGGAAACAGAGAUAAUGAGGAAUCAUUUCCAUUCUUUCAUUCACUUUUACUUGACCUCAUCACCAUAUGUGCGAACCAGAGAUACUUCGACAAAUAUAGCCUUGAAACUGGAAACUUGUAGUGUCUGCGGUUCUUGACAGAUGUUGGAGACAGUUGAAACUGAGACAAUGAAACAGGUCGGGCUUUUCGUCUGACAGCAGAAAUGUGUGUCUGGGUCUGUGUGUGUUCAACUGAUUUCAGCCGACCACUGCUGCCAUUGUCUGUUGGACUGGAGGCAUCUCAGUAAAAUAUAAAUAACUGUGUGGAGCUAAGAAUUGCCACUAGGUGUCAGGGUAGGUAUUCUUUGCUGCGAACACAGUUGAACUGAAAAUAUUCACAACUAUGAUUUUUGAAGCACUUCCACAGACCUUUGACGCAUAGUGGCCCUGACGCAUAGCCCCCCUCACCCUAACAUACCAACAAUGCCACACACACACACCUUAAUAUCGCCUUCAUCGUUGUGACCGAAAGGCCAAUUCACCCCUCCAGUGCCAGCAUCGUCAGUCUUGCAAAUGCUACUUAAAGGAAUGAAGUGGAAAUAACUGUCUAUUUCAUUGGGGAGAGAUGAAGAAUAAAAGCAAAAAUCCAGCACCCAUUUAAUGGAAUUAAAUAGGCUAGGUCAACAGCCUAAGAUAUGCAAUGACAACUUCCUAUUCAAAAUCUUGAUAGAGAGUAGACAUACUAAACUAAACAAAAACAUGACAUUUCUCAUGUCACUUUUCAAAUGUGAACAAAAAAUCUGCCUUAACUCUCACUUGUGUACUCUACAGUGCAGACGAUGAUGCUCGCUUGUAAAGACUCCCCACUUUGUACAAAAUAAAAUGGACAAAAAACAACGUUGUUAUGUUGCUAGUGUUGAUGUAUAGAUGAUCAGCUUUCUGUGACUUGUAUAAACCCAACCCUCACAUUUUGUUAAAGGACCCUUCUUCCUACACCACCAACAAACAUCCUCCUUCCCCUUCUAUGUUUUAUCUAGUGGUGAAUUAUCAACCUUUGUGUACAUUUUAUAGUAUUAUUUAAUUAAAGUGAAGAAAACUGCAAGAAAUGGAUAUAACUGUUGUCUUUUUAUUAUGAAGUUGUUACUAUAACUUGUUGCCAAGAUUGCUUUGAAAAUAAUAAUUUUGUGCUGUAACAGUAUUUGCUUUAUUCAGUGAAUUGCUUAUGGAGACUAAUAAAUAGAGGCACACACCAA